CUUAUGAUGGCGACCGGCGCACGGGUGCGUAACGCGUAUGCAACCUACCUUUUACAGGGGCAUAACACUGAGAAAUUGGUACUAAUUCCCCAUAAUAUCUGAGACGGCAUCGUUUUGGGUUGAAAACUCCGGUGGUAAAAGAUGGGCAUGCGUUGUAUUAGCUAGUUGGUGAGGUAACGGCUCACCUAAGGCGACGAUACAUAGGGGGACUGAGAGGUUAACCCCCCACAUUGGUACUGAGACACGGACCAAACUCCUACGGAAGGCAGCAG
Molecule: ribosomal RNA, 272 nt
Filed under: uncultured bacterium
Lineage: Bacteria
Description: partial 16S ribosomal RNA
Rfam family: Bacterial small subunit ribosomal RNA
Source: RNAcentral